Molecule: long non-coding RNA, 788 nt
Organism: Armigeres subalbatus
Lineage: Eukaryota; Metazoa; Arthropoda; Insecta; Diptera; Culicidae
Exons: 3
Source: RefSeq, a predicted model, not a curated record
CCAGGCAAGUCCGGUGGUGGAAUCGACACACCUAGAAGGUCCGAGCAACAACAGAAGUGAAUUGGUUACCAGUCUGCCACAAGGAAUGACCAGCAAAAGCCAAUUUCGCCGCUGUUAAAUAGUAGGACUAUCUUCAGAAGCAGCGGUAAUCUACAUUCGAAUGGAUUCUGGCGGAUUGAUCCUCAAGAUGCUCAGAUGCUCAGAGCCGGUGGAUGGUCUAUCGAUUGGCAAAGUAUCAUGACAAGAUACUUCAGACACACUAGCGUAUACAACCGAUCGGGCCAAUUCCUUGUAGUUCACUUGCAGAUAACCGAAAUCAAGUCUUCGUGAUUCGGAUUCGGAUGGUUCGGAUCGCUCCGCCAAAAAAUCCUCCCUUAAGGCUCGAUCCAACAUCUUGAGAGCUGGGUGUUGAUUCCAGCGACCCUCAUUUCAAAUUGCCCAAAGGUUCCAAACCGGAGGAUGAAAUCUUCGCACAGAAUCGAGUUUAGUUAUGACGGCUGAACUGGAUGCCCAGAACUAAAUUUAACAUCAGAGAACCAGUCUAGCACCGAUAUUUGAUGCCCCAAGCCCACCUGCGUUCGGUGCAUCCGUUUCCGGCGCGAUAUCGUCUGCUAGUGCCUUCGGAGCAUAAUCAAUUUUGGUGCCGAUCCUGGAUCCGAUCGUUGCCGCUAUUUCAAGCGCCGUAUUUAUUAGAUCUUCCAUGGUUACAUAGCCUUUUCGGUGGGGCCAAUGUAACACCGGCAGCAUAAGUACAUGAGAAUUAAAGAUGCAUCAUAGCAGGAAAUCGC